GCAUAUCAAUAAGCGGAGGAAAAGAAACUAACAAGGAUUCCCCUAGUAACGGCGAGUGAAGCGGGAUGAGCUCAAAUUUAAAAUCUGGCUGGUUUACUAGUCCGAAUUGUAGUUUAAAGAAGCGUUUUCGGUGGCAGCCUGGGUAUAAAUCCUUUGGAACAGGGUAUCAUAGAGGGUGAUAAUCCCGUCUGUUACUGGUUGUGAGGUUCGUUAUGAUACGCUUUCAAAGAGUCGAGUUGUUUGGGAUUGCAGCUCCAAAUGGGUGGUAAACAUCACCUAAGGCUAAAUAUUUGCGAGAGACCGAUAGCGAACAAGUACCGUGAGGGAAAGAUGAAAAGAACUUUGAAAAGAGAGUUAAAAAGUAUGUGAAAUUGUUGAAAGGGAAACGAUUGAAGUCAGUCGUGCAGUCAUCAAUUCAGCGGUUAACAUUUUAUGUUUCCGUGUAAUUUGGUGUCUGUUGGUUAGCAUCAAUUUUGAUUGUUAUAAAAAGGUUAAGGGGAUGUGGCUCCUUCGGGAGUGUUAUAACCCUUAGCGUAAUGUAACGAUUAGGAUUGAGGUUUGCAACGAAUACCUUUUAGGGCAGUUUCACCUGGCCUCUCGUGGAAUUAUAGAUAGUUAAGAGCAUGCUCUUACUGUCUAUGAUUCUACGAAAAGGUUGGAGUGUAAAACUAAUUCGUUAAGGAUGUUGACGUA
RNAcentral lists this ribosomal RNA (693 nucleotides) under uncultured Glomerales. RNAcentral's name for it is "LSU rRNA". It matches the Rfam family "Eukaryotic large subunit ribosomal RNA", at positions 38 to 633 of the family's 3401-position model. Lineage: Eukaryota; Fungi; Glomeromycota; Glomeromycetes; Glomerales; Glomeraceae. The record is from RNAcentral.